GUGUCAGCCGCCGCGGUAAUACGGGGGGGGCAAGCGUUGUUCGGAAUUACUGGGCGUAAAGGGUCGGUAGGUGGCCAACUAAGUCAGACGUGAAAUCCCUCAGCUUAACUGGGGAACUGCGUCUGAGACUGGAUGGCUCGAGUGCAGGAGAGGAACGCGGAAUUCCAGGUGUAGCGGUGAAAUGCGUAGAUAUCUGGAGGAACACCGGUGGCGAAGGCGGCGUUCUGGACUGCAACUGACACUGAACGACGAAAGCCAGGGGAGCAAACGGGAUUAGAUACCCCCGUAGUCC
This 292-nucleotide ribosomal RNA is filed under the name uncultured bacterium. RNAcentral's name for it is "partial 16S ribosomal RNA". It matches the Rfam family "Bacterial small subunit ribosomal RNA", at positions 505 to 796 of the family's 1533-position model. The record is from RNAcentral.